RNAcentral lists this ribosomal RNA (253 nucleotides) under uncultured prokaryote. RNAcentral describes it as "partial 16S ribosomal RNA". It matches the Rfam family "Bacterial small subunit ribosomal RNA", at positions 525 to 777 of the family's 1533-position model. The record is from RNAcentral.
ACGAACUGUGCAAACGUUAUUCGGAAUCACUGGGCUUAAAGGGUGCGUAGGCGGCUGUCUAAGUAGGGUGUGAAAGCCCCCGGCUCAACCGGGGAAUUGCGCCCUAAACUGGAUGGCUGGAGUGAGGCAGGGGUGUGUGGAACUUCCGGUGGAGCGGUGAAAUGUGUUGAUAUCGGAAGGAACGCCGGUGGCGAAAGCGACACACUGGGUCUCAACUGACGCUGAGGCACGAAAGCCAGGGGAGCAAACGGGA